Ananas comosus (pineapple) is the source of this 3119-nucleotide RNA transcript. It is a transcript of the gene named protein arginine N-methyltransferase 7, with no coding region annotated. Lineage: Eukaryota; Viridiplantae; Streptophyta; Magnoliopsida; Poales; Bromeliaceae. The record is from RefSeq and is a predicted model, not a curated record. The transcript has 17 exons.
UAUUACACUAUUCCUCACAAAAACAACAUCUCUCUCUCUCUCUCUCUCUCUCUCUCCUCUUCGGCCCAUGCGGAGCUCUCUCCUCUCUUCCUACAAACCCCCAAUUUCCAUUUCUACCCUCCGCUCCCUCCUCCCCUCUCCCUCCUCCUCCUCCAGGGGCUUUUCCGUCCACCUCAUGUCGCUCCUCGCCUCCUCCGCCGCGGCGGCGGCGCCGCCGGGGGCUAGGGUUCGCGCGUUCCAGCUCCAGCUCAACCCCCUCACAGGAGACUCGGAGUGGGUCGUCGUCGACGGAGACGACGACGAUGUAGAGGAGGAGGAGAAGAGGAGGACGAGGUCAUCGACGACGACCAUGGCGACGACCUCGUACCUCGACAUGCUCAACGACGCAGAGCGGAACCGCGCGUUCCGGCUCGCCGUGGAGAGGACGAUCUCCGGGCCGUGCCGCGUCCUCGACAUCGGAGCUGGAACGGGGUUACUCUCCAUGAUGGCAGCAAGAGCGAUGGCCAAAUUUGACAGUCAGAAGGAGGGUAAGGUGACGGCAUGCGAAUCCUACUUACCAAUGUGGAAAUUGAUGCGGAGGGUACUACGAGCAAAUGGCAUGGAGACAAUGGUGAAAGUGUUCUACAAACGCUCAGAUGAGCUUCAAGUUGGAGUUGAACUUGAGUCGCCGGCUGAUCUACUGGUUAGCGAGAUCUUGGAUUCAGAGUUGCUGGGUGAAGGAUUGAUACCUACCCUUCAGCACGCACAUGACAUGCUACUCGUAAAAAAUCCACAAACAGUUCCAUAUAGAGCCACUACCUAUGGGCAGCUAGUUGAAAGCCCAUUCUUGUGGAAGAUGCAUGAUUUGCACAACAAUGAAGUAAAUUCUUUGGAUGGCAUACAUCUCACACCAAAUGGGUUGGAACGAAUUAUUUCAGCAAAGCCACAGCAAUAUGCAAUGCACUGCAAUGCAAUAUCAGAGGGGAUUCGACUGUUGUCAGAGCCAUUCAAGAUUUUUGAAUUUGACUUUUGGAAGAGACCAGCGAGUUAUGGGGAGAAAGAGAUUCAGAUAAAAGCAAUUGAUGAUGGAAAAGUUCAUGCAGUUAUUUCAUGGUGGGUACUUCAGUUGGAUUCUGCUGGCUCAAUCUUCUAUUCUACCGCUCCUAGAUGGGUGAGAUCAUCCAUUUGUCAGAAUAAAUCAUCACAUAUGUUCGGUACUAACAAUUGGUGUGAUCACUGGAAACAAUGUGUUUGGUUCAUUGAUGGGACUGGAAUGCCUGCUUUAAAGGAUAAAUAUCUUUCCCUAAAAGCUACACAUAAUGAAACUAGCAUCUCAUACACUAUGGUGGUCGAAAAACAGACGAGUUGUAAUCACUCAAGCUUGGGUGACCAUCUUCUUGUGUUGCCGCCAGAGAAGGUUGCACUUUAUGGUGAUAAAGAUUGGAGAUUGGUCUUAUCUAAAGCAGUCAAAGAAGCUCUAAAUACCAGAUCUUCUCCGUCGUGCAUUGUCGCUGAUGACAGUGUUUUCUUGACUACUCUCAUUGCUUCUCUUUCUAAAACAUCACAUGUUAUCUCAAUCUUUCCUGGGCUCCAAGAUAAGGGUGCCUGUUACAUUCAAGCUAUAUCCGAUGCCAAUGGUUUCUCGAUGGAUCGGAUAAAGGUGAUCGGCAAAAGGACCUCAUCUUUGAUCUCAGAUGACCUUACACCGAGAAAGGUUGAUCUUUUUGUGGGGGAACCUUUCUUUUAUGGGAACGAAGGGAUGCUUCCGUGGCAGAACCUCCGGUUUUGGAAGGAAAGAACCCUCCUCGAUUCAAUCCUAGCUGAAGAUGCAUUCAUCAUGCCUCGUAAGGGAAUCCUAAAAGUUUGUGCCAUGUCUCUUCCCGACUUGUGGAGGAGUCGCCGCAGCUUGAAGGAUGUCGAAGGCUUUGAUCAUUCGGCUGUGAAUGAGGCUCUUGGAGCCUGUGGUGACUUACCCACAACGGAGGAUGGUCCUUGCCUGCCUUACUAUUUAUGGCAAUGUGGUGAUAUUAAGGAACUCAGUAAGGUAUAUUCUAUCAUGGAGUUUGAUUUCUCGGUACCAAUUCAUGCCUGUUUUGGGAAAACAGAGAUUGAAUUUUCUACUCCAGGAACAUGCCAUGGCUUUGCUCUUUGGAUUGAUUGGCUGAUCGAUGAAAGAGAUUCCAUUUCUAUAUCAACUGGACCAGUUAAUAGACACUGGAAACAAGGGGUACAGCUUAUCAACAAGCCAGUGGUGGUCAAUGUAGCUUCAUGCUACGCCAAAAUAGAGGCCUCCUUCGAGCCUUCGAUUGGCGAACUCUCCAUUAAACCCUCAUUCUCAUACCCAUCAUAGAAUUAAUCCUUGCGACAGCUGAAGCGAAGUUAUCACGUUGAUUACGGAGUAAGCAUGUGUUUAGACAGGAGAGGCUUCUCGAUGUCUUCAGUGGACUGCGUCGAGAAAUCGUCGUCUUCAAGUGUGCCGAAGCUUUCCUUGUUCUUCGCCCACAAGACGAUGUAAAGGCCAGAAAACAUUAAAACAAUUCCGAGAAUGCUGCAUCAUCAACAAAAUGUGUUGCAAGAUAAGACAACUACUGCUGCAAGAAGGUAGAAGCAACCUAACAUCCAGUCACUGUAGCUGCUAUUCUCAUUCUCCAAGUGCUCAUGCAAAAGAGAAGUAGCCUCAGGGGAGGUGUGAGUGUUAGGGCUUUGGAGGAAGCUCAUAGCUAUGGCCCCACCCAAGCACACCAUGGUCCCUACAAUCUUGGCUCUGCUGUACCUGCACGUCUUCUCAAACUUCUCUAACCUACAAAACGGAACAAAUUAGAAUCUGUUGGCUCCAACACCAAAGAAUUGAGUUUGCCUUAAUGCUUUAUUUGUCUUGGUUGAUCUGGAUUCGACAUUAGAAGUGUAUUGAUUGUUUUGCAAGGCGAAACCAACAGUCUACAAAGAGUUAAAUGUUCUCUGGUCCUGAGAGGAAAGUGUACUUUCUUUCAUUCUAUAAGUGAGAAGGCUGCGCGCGCAGAGCACAUUUAUUGAAUCUGGUUAGUGUUCUGAUGGUACGUUUGAUCAGUUUCUAUACAUAUAUUCUGUCAACAACAGUUUUUGUUCCAUCAGUAGAUUCAGUGCCACUGGCUAAAUUAUUA